RNAcentral lists this ribosomal RNA (252 nucleotides) under uncultured bacterium. RNAcentral's name for it is "partial 16S ribosomal RNA". It matches the Rfam family "Bacterial small subunit ribosomal RNA", at positions 524 to 776 of the family's 1533-position model. The record is from RNAcentral.
UACGUAAGGUCCGAGCGUUGUCCGGAAUCAUUGGGCGUAAAGGGUACGUAGGCGGAUAAGCAAGUUAGAAGUGAAAUCCUAUAGCUCAACUAUAGUAAGCUUUUAAAACUGUUCAUCUUGAGGUAUGGAAGGGAAGGUAGAAUUCUUAGUGUAGCGGUGAAAUGCGUAGAUAUUAGGAGGAAUACCGGUUGCGAAGGCGACUUUCUAGCCAUAAACUGACACUGAGGUACGAAAGCGUGGGUAGCAAACAGG